CCAAAGGCUCUUUUCAGGGCCACCAUCUUUCUUAGCAACCAAGAGG
Molecule: non-coding RNA, 46 nt
Organism: Callithrix jacchus (white-tufted-ear marmoset)
Lineage: Eukaryota; Metazoa; Chordata; Mammalia; Primates; Cebidae
Source: Rfam